CCUACGGGUGGCAGCAGUGAGGAAUAUUGGUCAAUGGGCUUACGCCUGAACCAGCAAUGUCGCGUGAGGGAAGACUGCCCUAUGGGUUGUAAACCUCUUUUGUCAGGGAGCAACGCCGGCUACGUGUAGCCGGCCUGCGAGUACCUGCAGCAAAAGCCUCCGCUACCUCCGUGCCAGCAGCCGCGGUAAUACGAAGGAUGCGAGCUUUAUCCGGAUUUAUUGGGUUUAAAGGGUGCGUAGGCGGACUGCAAAGUCAGCGGGAAAAUCGUGGGGCUAAACCUCGCUUCGCAGUUGAAACUGGCGUUCUUGAGUGGGCGAGAAGUAUGCGGAAUGCGUGGUGUAGCGGUGAAAUGCAUAGAUAUCACGCAGAACUCCGAUUGCGAAGGCAGCAUACCGGCGCCCAACUGACGCUGAAGCACGAAAGCGUGGGUAUCGAACAGGAUUAGAUACCCUUGUAGUC
This 460-nucleotide ribosomal RNA is filed under the name uncultured bacterium. RNAcentral's name for it is "partial 16S ribosomal RNA". It matches the Rfam family "Bacterial small subunit ribosomal RNA", at positions 338 to 795 of the family's 1533-position model. The record is from RNAcentral.